CAGGCCAGGACCAAGCCCUGAAUGCAGCCCAGCUCUGCCAAGUGCCCUGGGCUGUGAGCAGCCCAAGGCAAGAGGCUGCAGCCCCGCCGGCCGGCGCUGGGGGCUCCUGGUGCUGCCCGUGGGCUGGGAUGCUGGAAUUGCCUCUCUGGGUGUGUGCUGAGCUCUGGCUGCAGGGGACUGUCAGGCCUUGGUGGCUCCUCCUUGCAGCUCCCAGCCAGGAAAACCUGGGA
This is a long non-coding RNA of Chiroxiphia lanceolata (lance-tailed manakin), 230 nucleotides long. RefSeq lists it as uncharacterized. Lineage: Eukaryota; Metazoa; Chordata; Aves; Passeriformes; Pipridae. The transcript is spliced from 3 exons. The record is from RefSeq and is a predicted model, not a curated record.